Molecule: non-coding RNA, 1626 nt
Organism: Durio zibethinus
Lineage: Eukaryota; Viridiplantae; Streptophyta; Magnoliopsida; Malvales; Malvaceae
Source: RefSeq, a predicted model, not a curated record
UUGGUUUCAAGUCAGCCUCAUUUAUUUUAUGACUACUUGCAGACUCGUUGAGUUUGGCCCUGUGGCUACCCGCAAAUUUCUUUAUCCUUUUUAGUGAAACUCAAAGUCAAUACAAAUUGGCUUCUUAAUUUGUCAGACAGCUUUUAUUUUUACAUCUAAUUUUGUUCGCUCCCCGGACUUUAUCAAAUGCAGAUGCACUAAAUCACCCUUCUAUUCAUACAUGCUCGACUUCUUUCUUUGAGGGGCAAAGAUGCCUAACUAUUACCUCUAGUUGAUAUUUAAUUUCCCAAAAAAAAUACUGUUCCUUCUGUAUCAAAAUAAUUAUUUUUUAUUAAUUACAAAUUUUAUUUUUUAAUUUUAUAAUUAAUGUAUAAAAGCUAUCCUCAAUUGGUUUCAAUGGGGAUAGCUCAGCAAUGGAAAACAAAAUGAUGGGAGGAUAAAUAUUGUCUUUCUGCUUCUCCAAAAACUUAUUAAAAAAAGACUUUGAAAAGAGCGAAGGGCAAAGCUGAAAGCAGGCUUUUGAGCCUUUGUCUUUUAUUUGUCUCUGCGGAUGCUGUGCCUGUUCUUAAUGUCAAAUCUACUUCAUCAUUCUUUGUGGAUUUAGCAGUGGAUUCCCUUCAUACAUGUUAUAGUGUUCAUUGUUGGCAGAAGCUGGGCUUUAUGAGAGGAAAGAGAAAGCUGCAAAGAGAGAAGUGUCUGUCGUAUUCAAGAGAUUAUCAAGGAACUGAGCAUGUAACUGUUGAUUAUUUGGAGGUCAAUGACUCCAUUGGAAUACUAGCUAGAAGUAGGUAUACCAACAAUGAUGUUGUUGCUGCUGUGAUCCUUGGUACUAGAUCAAAUGUGACUUAUGUGGAACGUGCAUAGGUGCAAACGGGGACACAUUCCUUUACAUUUAAUCAUGUUUAUGGAAAUGGUGGUUCUCUGUAUCUUCCAUGUUUGAAGAAUGUGUUGCUUCUCUGGUUGAAGGUUUGUUCCAAAGAUAUAAUGCUACUGUACUUGUUUAUGGUCAGGUAAUAUCGGUUGAUAUAUGAGAGCUGUUCGAAGUUAAACAAGCUUUUCUUAGUGUCUUGAUAUUUAUGUUCAUGGUUGACAUGUGCAAUUGUCCCAAACGGGAUUUGGGAAGACAUAUACCAUGGGGACAAGUAUAAAAAAGGGUUGCCAGAUAGGAUUGAUUCCUCGAGUUAUGAAUGCAUUGUUUAAGAAAAUUGAAACAUAGAAGCAUUAAACAGUGUUGCAGCUGCAUGUUCCUUCAUAGAGGUAAUGAAAGAAAUAUUUAUAUGGUUUCGCAUCCCAUAAAAAAAAAACUUCUUCAUAUUUGCUACUUAGAGUAGAUAUAAUAAAUUCAAAACUCAAAACCAAAAAAUUUUAAUUUGAUAUUCUUUUCAUAUGUACUCCAAGAAGCAAAAGUAUAAUUCUUUUUAUUUGUAGUAUUGACAAUCUGCUGUUUAUGUUUGGAAAUGAAAUAGUUUUUUUCAGCUGUGGUCUGCAGUUAGCUGAUUCUCUUAUAUUUGCAGGCAGUGAACAGGUGUACCAAAAAUUGAACGAGUCAAAAGAAAGCAAAAGUGGAACUUACAUUUUAGGAUUGAGUUUUAAGUUUUAUCUCAAUUAUGUCAUUAGACUGACUAC